This 490-nucleotide ribosomal RNA is filed under the name uncultured bacterium. RNAcentral describes it as "partial 16S ribosomal RNA". It matches the Rfam family "Bacterial small subunit ribosomal RNA", at positions 28 to 507 of the family's 1533-position model. The record is from RNAcentral.
GAUGAACGCUAGCUACAGGCUUAACACAUGCGAGUCGCGGGGCAGCAUGGGGGUUGCUUGCACUCCCUGAUGGCGACCGGCGCACGGGUGAGUAACGCGUAUCCAACCUGCCCUUCACCACGGGAUAACCCGGCGAAAGUCGGACUAAUACCGUAUGUUGUCCAUUGACGGCAUCCGAUUUGGACGAAAGGCUUAGCGGUGAGGGAUGGGGAUGCGUCCGAUUAGCUUGACGGCGGGGUAACGGCCCACCGUGGCUACGAUCGGUAGGGGUUCUGAGAGGAAGGUCCCCCACACUGGAACUGAGACACGGUCCAGACUCCUACGGGAGGCAGCAGUGAGGAAUAUUGGUCAAUGGGCGUAAGCCUGAACCAGCCAAGUAGCGUGCAGGAGGACGGCCCUAUGGGUUGUAAACUGCUUUUAUGCGGGGAUAAAGGGACCCACGUGUGGGUUUUUGCAGGUACCGCAUGAAUAAGGACCGGCUAAUUCCGUG